CAGCCGUAAACUAUGCGCGUUAGGUGUAUCGGUGACCACGAGUUACCGAGGUGCCGAAGGGAAACCGUGAAACGUGCCGCCUGGGAAGUACGGUCGCAAGAUUGAAACUUAAAGGAAUUGGCGGGGGAGCACCACAAGGGUGAAGCUUGCGGUUUAAUUGGAGUCAACGCCGGAAAUCUCACCGGGAGCGACAGCAGUAUGAAAGCCAGAUUGAAGGUCUUGCUAGACGAGCUGAGAGGAGGUGCAUGGCGUAGUCGUGU
RNAcentral lists this ribosomal RNA (260 nucleotides) under uncultured archaeon. RNAcentral describes it as "partial 16S ribosomal RNA". It matches the Rfam family "Archaeal small subunit ribosomal RNA", at positions 748 to 1009 of the family's 1478-position model. The record is from RNAcentral.